GCUGGGCAUGGUGGUGCUUGCCUGUAGUCCCAGCUACUCAGGAGACUGAGGUGGGAGGAUUGCUUGAGCCCAGGAGUUCGAGGCAGCAGUGAACUUGGAUUGCACCACUGCACUCCAGCCUGGGAGACAGAGUAAGACCCUAUCUCUU
Pongo abelii (Sumatran orangutan) is the source of this 148-nucleotide unclassified non-coding RNA. It matches the Rfam family "Metazoan signal recognition particle RNA". Rfam says of the family: The signal recognition particle (SRP) is a universally conserved ribonucleoprotein. Lineage: Eukaryota; Metazoa; Chordata; Mammalia; Primates; Hominidae. The record is from Ensembl.